RNAcentral lists this ribosomal RNA (254 nucleotides) under uncultured bacterium. RNAcentral describes it as "partial 16S ribosomal RNA". It matches the Rfam family "Bacterial small subunit ribosomal RNA", at positions 524 to 776 of the family's 1533-position model. The record is from RNAcentral.
UACGUAGGCAGCGAGCGUUGUUCGGAGUUACUGGGCGUAAAGGGUGUGUAGGCGGUUGUUUAAGUUUGGUGUGAAAUCUCCCGGCUCAACUGGGAGGGUGCGCCGAAUACUGAAUGACUUGGAGUGCGGGAGAGGAAAGUGGAAUUCCUGGUGUAGCGGUGAAAUGCGUAGAUAUCGAGAGGAACACCGGCGGCGAAGGCGGCCAUCUGGACGAGGACUGACGCUGAGAUGCGAAAGCGUGGGGAGCAAACAGG